RNAcentral lists this ribosomal RNA (453 nucleotides) under uncultured Gammaproteobacteria bacterium. RNAcentral's name for it is "bacterial SSU rRNA". It matches the Rfam family "Bacterial small subunit ribosomal RNA", at positions 1077 to 1533 of the family's 1533-position model. The record is from RNAcentral. Lineage: Bacteria; Pseudomonadati; Pseudomonadota; Gammaproteobacteria.
UGGGUUAGUCCGCACGAGCGCACCCUGUCCUUUUUUGCCAGCACAUAAUGGUGGGGACUCUAAGGAGACUGCCUGGGAUAACCAGGAGGAAGGUGGGGAUGAUGUCAAGUCAGUAUGUCCCUUAUGUCCAGGGCUACACACGUGUUACAAUGGCCGGUACAGAGGGCGGCGAAGCCGCGAGGUGGAGCGAAUCUCAGAAAACCGGUCGUAGUCCGGAUUGCAGUCUGCAACUCGACUGCAUGAAGCCGGAAUCGCUAGUAAUCGCGGAUCAGAACGCCGCGGUGAAUACGUUCCCGGGCCUUGUACACACCGCCCGUCACACCAUGGGAGUGGGCUGUACCAGAAGUAGGUAGUCUAACCUUCGGGAGGACGCUUACCACGGUGUGGUUCAUGACUGGGGUGAAGUCGUAACAAGGUAGCCCUAGGGGAACCUGGGGCUGGAUCACCUCCUUU